UCCAAGAAGCUUGUUGCUUCUGGAAAGCUCGUUAAGGUCAAAGGAUCUUUCAAGUUACCGUCGGUUAAGUCUUCUGCUCCAAAGCCAGCGAAGAAGCCUGUUGCAGCUAAGCCCAAACCCAAAGCAAAGCCCGCUGCUAAAUCUAAGCCAGCAGCUGCCAAGUCUAAAGCUGCUCCUGCUAAAGCCAAACCAGCAGCAACUAAGGCUAAGCCUGCUGCCAAGGCAAAGCCUGCAGCUAAGCCCGCAGUAAAACCCAAGCCCGCUGCAAAUGCCAGGCCGCCAGUUGCCAAGGCUAGAGCUGCCCCUGUUGUUAAGGCUAAGCCUGCAGCAAAGGCUAAGCCCGCAGCUAAGCCCAAGGCCAAGCCUGCUGCAAAGCCCAAGGCUGCUGCCGCUGCUAAGGCGAAACCUGCAGCCAAGGCAAAGGCUGUGAAAUCGCCUGCUAAGUCUUCUAGAACCUCGACGAGAACGUCUCCUGGGAGGAGAGCUGCUGCUCCGAAACCGGUGG
Molecule: long non-coding RNA, 505 nt
Filed under: Cicer arietinum (chickpea)
Lineage: Eukaryota; Viridiplantae; Streptophyta; Magnoliopsida; Fabales; Fabaceae
Description: long non-coding RNA (CARI_LNC000819)
Source: RNAcentral